GACGAACGCUGGCGGCGUGCUUAACACAUGCCAGUCGAACGGAAAGGCCCUGCUUUUGUGGGGUGCUCGAUUGGCGCACGGGUGAGUAACACGUGUGUAACCUGCCCUUGACUUUGGGAUAACUUCAGGAAACUGGGGCGAAUACCGGAUAGGAGCUCCUGCUGCGUGGGGGGGGUUGGAAAGUUUCGGCGGUUGGGGAUGGACUCGCGGCUUAUCGGCUUGUUGGUGGGGUAGGGACAUACCAAGGCUUUGACGGGUAGGCGGCCUGGGAGGGGGACCGGGCACAUUACGACUGAGCUACGACCCAGACGCGAAUCGGAGGCAACGGUGGAGAGUAUAACACAGUGGGGGGGAGCCAGGUGCGACAACGCCGCGUGCGGGAAGACGUGAUGCGGGUUGUGAACCGAUGUCGCCUGAGCCGAGGAGAGAGUGACGGUAACGGGUCAAGAAGCCCCGGCUAACUACGUG
This 468-nucleotide ribosomal RNA is filed under the name uncultured bacterium. RNAcentral describes it as "partial 16S ribosomal RNA". It matches the Rfam family "Bacterial small subunit ribosomal RNA", at positions 28 to 507 of the family's 1533-position model. The record is from RNAcentral.